UUAGUUUUAUUCAUUAUCUUUUAUCGUAAUUUUCAAUUUUUCGUUUGCAAUUUUUUUUUUUUUUUUUUUUUUUUUUAAUUAAUUUUCUUGCGUACUUAACUGAAUUUGAUGCGAAAUAUAUAAGCACACAAAUUAAACCCUCUUUUUGACAAUUGUAGUAUAGAUGUAAGUAGGGUAUCGUUCUAGGCCGGGGAUUAGGAGGGAUUGCUAAUCUAUUCUAAAUUAAUUUAAAAAUAUUAAAUAAGACUCAAGGACACAAAACUAGGCUAAAAACUCUAAUAACUUGAAACACACUUAUAAUGACUCAAAAUAAUGGAAACACUCAAAUUAGACACUAGGAACUGAAAUGGACGGAAAUUGAAUUAAAAGACUAACAACAAAGAAAACUAACUAAAUAAUAUAAUUUAAUAAUGGAUGGGUGUUUGGUUUUGAUGAAAAGUAAAAUAAACUUAAUUAAAUUACAGAAUUGACAAAAACAUAAAAUUAAGGUAAAAUGAUAAAUGACGGACUAGCUAG
RNAcentral lists this long non-coding RNA (516 nucleotides) under Malus domestica (apple). RNAcentral describes it as "long non-coding RNA (MDOM_LNC012728)". The record is from RNAcentral. Lineage: Eukaryota; Viridiplantae; Streptophyta; Magnoliopsida; Rosales; Rosaceae.